AAGUACGCGCAUGGAAACGACGUCUAAGCGAACUUUACGGAACACAGUUCGUCCAGCUUCGGGAUAAUCACGAUGGCAUGCACAAGAUGAGUCGCGGCUGCCGUUAUUCGGGCAAGUAUCGGCGUUUAUUAACCUGCAAGGUGGUUUGUGUGGUUAUUAUACAUUUCUGGACUGCAUGUAUAGCAAGUUACUUAAUUUCCCGACACGUGGUUGGUAUGCAUGGCCGUAACUGGCAAAUUCUUGUUCGAUCCGGCCUGAAUGAUGGAACAGCUUCACAUACAGCGUCAUCUAGCGACGACUGAGUAGCACGAUCUGUACAAACUACACGACGCAUUGAUCGACCUUCGCCACACGACCUUGAACACUGAUCCAACGCGCCAGUAAACUUCCGAAUCGCAUCUUCCUCUGUCACAAUCUCUCACAGCAUAAGGGCGAGUGGUGAGUCGACAUGACGUCACGGUUUUUUCUUUGUACGUCAUCGGAUCGACGUAUGAGCAUUUAACUGGUCGUCGUUGUAUUCCAGGACCACACGAUUUGGUACACUACAAAACAGAUACCAUAUUGAACUAUGCAUGAAAUGAAAUAGUUAAUUAGGUAC
This is a non-coding RNA of Ciona intestinalis (vase tunicate), 598 nucleotides long. Lineage: Eukaryota; Metazoa; Chordata; Ascidiacea; Phlebobranchia; Cionidae. The record is from RefSeq and is a predicted model, not a curated record.